AAACGUUGGGGCGCUAGGUCGUGGGUUUCCUUCCACGGGAUCCGUGCCGUAGCUAACGCAUUAAGCGCCCCGCCUGGGGAGUACGGCCGCAAGGCUAAAACUCAAAGGAAUUGACGGGGGCCCGCACAAGCGGCGGAGCAUGUGGAUUAAUUCGAUGCAACGCGAAAAACCUUACCUGGGCUUGACAUGCACUGGAUGCGGCCAGAGAUGGUUGUUCCCUUUGUGGCUGGUGUGCAGGUGGUGCAUGGUUGUCGUCAGCUCGUGUCGUGAGAUGUUGGGUUAAGUCCCGCAACGAGCGCAACCCUUGUCUCGUGUUGCCAGCAUUUGGUUGGGGACUCGCGGGAGACUGCCGGGGUUAACUCGGAGGAAGGUGGGGAUGACGUCAAAUCAUCAUGCCCCUUAUGUCCAGGGCUUCACACAUGCUACAAUGGCUGGUACAGAGAGUUGCGAUACCGUGAGGUGGGGCUAAUCUCGUAAAGCCAGUCUCAGUUCGGAUUGGAGUCUGCAACUCGACUCCAUGAAGUCGGAGUCGCUAGUAAUCGCAGAUCAGCAAUGCUGCGGUGAAUACGUUCCCGGGCCUUGUACACACCGCCCGUCACGUCAUGAAAGUUGGUAACACCCGAAGCCGGUGGCCUAAACUCGUUAGGGAGCCGUCGAAGGUGGGAUUGGCGAUUGGGACGAAGUCGUAACAAGG
Molecule: ribosomal RNA, 694 nt
Filed under: Corynebacterium kroppenstedtii
Lineage: Bacteria; Bacillati; Actinomycetota; Actinomycetes; Mycobacteriales; Corynebacteriaceae
Description: bacterial SSU rRNA
Rfam family: Bacterial small subunit ribosomal RNA
Source: RNAcentral